UACGGGGGGGGGCAAGCGUUGUUCGGAAUUACUGGGCGUAAAGGGCUCGUAGGCGGCCAACUAAGUCAGACGUGAAAUCCCCAGGCUUAACCUGGGAACUGCGUCUGAUACUGGAUGGCUUGAAUCCGGGAGAGGGAUGCAGAAUUCCAGGUGUAGCGGUGAAAUGCGUAGAUAUUGGGAGGAACACCGGUGGCGAAGGCGGCCCCCUGGACCGGUACUGACGCUGAGGCGCGAAAGCUAGGGGAGCGAACGGG
This 254-nucleotide ribosomal RNA is filed under the name uncultured bacterium. RNAcentral describes it as "partial 16S ribosomal RNA". It matches the Rfam family "Bacterial small subunit ribosomal RNA", at positions 524 to 776 of the family's 1533-position model. The record is from RNAcentral.